This 289-nucleotide ribosomal RNA is filed under the name uncultured Endozoicomonas sp. RNAcentral describes it as "partial 16S ribosomal RNA". It matches the Rfam family "Bacterial small subunit ribosomal RNA", at positions 1093 to 1382 of the family's 1533-position model. The record is from RNAcentral. Lineage: Bacteria; Pseudomonadati; Pseudomonadota; Gammaproteobacteria; Oceanospirillales; Endozoicomonadaceae.
CGAGCGCACCCUUGUCCUCAGUUACCAGCACGUUAUGGUGGGCACUCUGGGGAGACUGCCGGCGACAAACCGGAGGAAGGUGGGGACGACGUCAAGUCAUCAUGGCCCUUACGGCCAGGGCUACACACGUGCUACAAUGGUGCAUACAGACGGUUGCCAAGCCGCAAGGUGGAGCUAAUCUGAGAAAGUGCAUCGUAGUCCGGAUUGGGGUCUGCAACUCGACCCCAUGAAGUCGGAAUCGCUAGUAAUCGCGAAUCAGAAUGUCACGGUGAAUACGUUCCCGGGCCUU